This 253-nucleotide ribosomal RNA is filed under the name uncultured bacterium. RNAcentral describes it as "partial 16S ribosomal RNA". It matches the Rfam family "Bacterial small subunit ribosomal RNA", at positions 524 to 776 of the family's 1533-position model. The record is from RNAcentral.
UACUUAGGGGGCAAGCGUUGUCCGGAUUUACUGGGCGUAAAGCGCGCGCAGGCGGCCCAUUAAGUAAGGUGUGAAAUAUCCCGGCUCAACCGGGAGGGUGCACUUUAGACUGAUGAGCUUGAGGUCGGUAGAGGGGGGUGGAAUUGCUGGUGUAGCGGUGAAAUGCGUAGAGAUCAGCAGGAACACCCGUGGCGAAGGCGGCCCCCUGGGCCGUACCUGACGCUGAGGCGCGAAGGCUAGGGGAGCGAACGGG